This 397-nucleotide ribosomal RNA is filed under the name uncultured bacterium. RNAcentral's name for it is "partial 16S ribosomal RNA". It matches the Rfam family "Bacterial small subunit ribosomal RNA", at positions 523 to 918 of the family's 1533-position model. The record is from RNAcentral.
AUACGUAGGGGGCGAGCGUUGUCCGGAAUGAUUGGGCGUAAAGGGCGCGUAGGCGGCCCGGUAAGUCUGGAGUGAAAGUCCUGUUUUUAAGAUGGGAAUUGCUUUGGAUACUGUCGGGCUUGAGUGCAGGAGAGGUAAGUGGAAUUCCCAGUGUAGCGGUGAAAUGCGUAGAGAUUGGGAGGAACACCAGUGGCGAAGGCGACUUACUGGACUGUAACUGACGCUGAGGCGCGAAAGUGUGGGGAGCAAACAGGAUUAGAUACCCUGGUAGUCCACACUGUAAACGAUGAGUGCUAGGUGUAAGAGGUAUCGACCCCUUUUGUGCCGGAGUCAACACAAUAAGCAUUCCGCCUGGGGAGUACGGCCGCAAGGUUGAAACUCAAAUGAAUUGGCGGGG